Molecule: non-coding RNA, 537 nt
Organism: Rattus norvegicus (Norway rat)
Lineage: Eukaryota; Metazoa; Chordata; Mammalia; Rodentia; Muridae
Source: RefSeq, a predicted model, not a curated record
ACAAUCAUCAUUACAAAUGUUCAUAAAUGCUGAUGUGGAUAGGAAAGAAAGAAAAUGUGGAUUGUAAAACCCUUCUGUGAUGGCUGCCCUUUGCCUGUUUUAGUGCUUCCUUGUCUUCAGUUUUCAAAAGGACUGCUUGUUCGAGGAAUGUGUUGGAGACUGAAAUACUGGGAUUAACAUAAGAAGGAAUGUUAAGGAAGAAGGUCUCUGUGAUCCAUUGGGCAUUGGGUAAAGGAGGAAACAGAGGUCACAGUAGGUUCCCUGCUGUAGAGCUAGAGAUGAGACUGGAUGAAUUAGAGACAGGAACCUAGCUUAUCUGUCUCCUGAGAGAAUUAAUACUGGAGCAGAUGGAUGCAGAUGUGGAAACCCAGAGCAAAGCAUCAGGCAGAGUCUUGUGAAUGAGUAGGAGAUAGAAGUGAGCUCAUCAGAAGAGUCAAGGACACCACAAAAUCAGAUAGAACAUGGUGUUCACACAUUACCAAGGCCACAACGAAUAUGCUGAAUUGUGUAUCUCUGUUCCAAUAAAUACAUCUGUAA